Molecule: ribosomal RNA, 681 nt
Filed under: uncultured Alphaproteobacteria bacterium
Lineage: Bacteria; Pseudomonadati; Pseudomonadota; Alphaproteobacteria
Description: bacterial SSU rRNA
Rfam family: Bacterial small subunit ribosomal RNA
Source: RNAcentral
AACGAACGCUGGCGGCAUGCCUAACACAUGCAAGUCGAACGAAGGCUUCGGCCUUAGUGGCGCACGGGUGCGUAACGCGUGGGAAUCUGCCCUUAGGUUCGGAAUAACAGCUGGAAACGGCUGCUAAUACCGGAUGAUGACGAAAGUCCAAAGAUUUAUCGCCUGAGGAUGAGCCCGCGUUGGAUUAGGUAGUUGGUGGGGUAAAGGCCUACCAAGCCGACGAUCCAUAGCUGGUCUGAGAGGAUGAUCAGCCACACUGGGACUGAGACACGGCCCAGACUCCUACGGGAGGCAGCAGUGGGGAAUAUUGGACAAUGGGCGAAAGCCUGAUCCAGCAAUGCCGCGUGAGUGAUGAAGGCCCUAGGGUUGUAAAGCUCUUUUACCCGGGAAGAUAAUGACUGUACCGGGAGAAUAAGCCCCGGCUAACUCCGUGCCAGCAGCCGCGGUAAUACGGAGGGGGCUAGCGUUGUUCGGAAUUACUGGGCGUAAAGCGCACGUAGGCGGCUUUGUAAGUCAGAGGUGAAAGCCUGGAGCUCAACUCCAGAACUGCCUUUGAGACUGCAUCGCUUGAAUCCAGGAGAGGUCAGUGGAAUUCCGAGUGUAGAGGUGAAAUUCGUAGAUAUUCGGAAGAACACCAGUGGCGAAGGCGGCUGACUGGACUGGUAUUGACGCUGAGGUGCG